GACGAACGCUGGCGGCGUGCUUAACACAUGCAAGUCGAACGGAAAGGCCCUGCUUUUGUGGGGUGCUCGAGUGGCGAACGUGUGAGUAACCCGUGAGUAACCUGCCCUUGACUUUGGGAUAACUUCAGGAAACUGGGGCUAAUACCGGAUAGGAGCUCCUGCUGCAUGGUGGGGGUUGGAAAGUUUCGGCGGUUGGGGAUGGACUCUCGGCUUAUCAGCUGGUUGGUGGGGUAGUGGCUUACCAAGGCUUUGACGGGUAGCCGGCCUGAGAGGGUGACCGGCCACAUUGGGACUGAGAUACGGACCAGACUCCUACGGGAGGCAGCAGUGGGGAAUAUUGCACAAUGGGCGGAAGCCUGAUGCAGCAACGCCGCGUGCGGGAUGACGGCCUUCGGGUUGUAAACCGCUUUCGCCUGUGACGAAGCGUGAGUGACGGUAAUGGGUAAAGAAGCACCGGCUAACUACGUG
RNAcentral lists this ribosomal RNA (468 nucleotides) under uncultured bacterium. RNAcentral describes it as "partial 16S ribosomal RNA". It matches the Rfam family "Bacterial small subunit ribosomal RNA", at positions 28 to 507 of the family's 1533-position model. The record is from RNAcentral.